CUGUGUGCUGUAUGAGUUGUGCAUGCUGGAGGCUGCAUUUUCAGCAUUAAGCAAAACUGAUUUAAUUUCCAAACUGAAGAUAGAUCCAGCCCCACUCAUCUCAACGCAUUUCCCAAAUUUUUGUCAUCUUGGGAAAGAUCUCCUGCAGAUGUUUGCAGUGAACAGACUGUCUGUCAAUGACAUACUGAAGAAACCAUUCAUUCUAAAAUUCUGUAUUCAAAAGUUCAAGAAAAUUGUUGAAGAACUCCAGCAAAAAGUGAAUGAGCUGGAAGACAUUCUUCGCCAAAUGGAGCGC
This is a long non-coding RNA of Megalops cyprinoides (Indo-Pacific tarpon), 295 nucleotides long. RefSeq lists it as uncharacterized. The transcript has 3 exons. NCBI's taxonomy places the organism in Eukaryota, Metazoa, Chordata, Actinopteri, Elopiformes, Megalopidae. The record is from RefSeq and is a predicted model, not a curated record.